AAAAUUUUAUUACAUGUAGUUCUUGCAGCUGGGUAUAGGAAGGUGCAAAUUUGGUAGGCAGAAUGAUCAAUUUAGGCUAUGUGGGCGUCUGAUUUAACUUAUGGCUGGCGCACCUACCAUUUUAUUACUAUCAAAAUUAUUCCUAAAACUACGAGGAUAAUUAAUUAUGGUGGUGAAUGUAGAUAAUUUCUCAAUGUUAUUUCUUAU
Molecule: long non-coding RNA, 207 nt
Filed under: Setaria italica (foxtail millet)
Lineage: Eukaryota; Viridiplantae; Streptophyta; Magnoliopsida; Poales; Poaceae
Description: long non-coding RNA (SITA_LNC002517)
Source: RNAcentral